RNAcentral lists this ribosomal RNA (166 nucleotides) under Artomyces microsporus. Its description in RNAcentral is "5.8S ribosomal RNA". It matches the Rfam family "5.8S ribosomal RNA". From Rfam's summary of the family: 5.8S ribosomal RNA (5.8S rRNA) is a component of the large subunit of the eukaryotic ribosome. It is transcribed by RNA polymerase I as part of the 45S precursor that also contains 18S and 28S rRNA. Lineage: Eukaryota; Fungi; Basidiomycota; Agaricomycetes; Russulales; Auriscalpiaceae. The record is from RNAcentral.
AUACCAHUUUCAACCACGGAUCUUUUGGCUCUCGCCUCGAUGAAGAAAGCAVCGAAAUGCGAUAAAUAAUGUGAAAUGCVGAAUUCAVUGAAUCCUCGAAUCUUUGAACGCCCCUUGCGCCCCUUGGUUUUCCGAGGGGCACGCCUGUUUGAGUGUCGUGAACUUU